This 4667-nucleotide small RNA is filed under the name Pan troglodytes (chimpanzee). RNAcentral's name for it is "retained intron". The record is from RNAcentral. Lineage: Eukaryota; Metazoa; Chordata; Mammalia; Primates; Hominidae.
ACUAGUGUGAGAUUCAUGCAGCGUCAUAGGAAGCAGGGUGAUGUGUUUGAAAACAGUGAGCAGGCUAAUGUAUUAAUCUGCUAAUUCUGUCUCCUGAGUUUUCUCUCUUUUCUUCCCUCCUGCCACAUGAAGUGUGCUUGGCUUCUUACCUAAUUAGACAUCUUUUCUUCCUCAGAGAAGGUAUGAGACAGGGAUUUGAUUGUAGUUAUCACUGUAAACAUCAAACUGAUUUUUAUGCAGAACUAUUGCCCCAGGGCAUACCUUCUAAGGAACCUGGUCUCUCCUUACCUAGCGAAUUCCACAUACACAUAGAUGUACACCUACCUGUACACUCACAGAUUGGGUGGUGAUUAAAGGGACGGAAUCGGGGACCAGCUUCUUGUUAGGAAUGCAGUGUUGCCACGGCAUGACAGCAUGGAGCAGUUGAGGGAAUGGCUGCCCAGGAGAACUCAGAACUCUUGAAAUGUAGUUCCAGGCUGCCAUCAUUGCCCUGAUAUUCAGGCCGUCAGACGGAUGUGUGUUGUAGGCCCUGAACGGCACAGAGAGUGGCAGAACAGGCUACAUAAACAGCUCAGCCCAGAAUUGUCUUUCCAGACUGCCUGCCCUCAGUCACAACCCCCACCAGGGAAGGGAAGUGGCCCCAAGACUCCUUCCUCCUUCACCCACUCGAGGAAACAGAGUUCCUGUUACGUGGCAUGAAUGAUGUCUUUUGGCCCCAGUUAAUCCCUCUGAGUCACCAGGUGGCCUUUGCCAAGUGCUGGAGCUGGAAGAGAUGAUAGAGACACUCAUCUGGCAUCCUGAGGCUCUCCUCACAGCUGUUGAAUUCUAGAGGUGCAUUUCAGUGUCUUGGGGCAUGGCAAGACCUUGGAGGCUCCCUGAGCAGAGCAGUGGAGAUGCCCAAAAAGAAGGAAGAACCUAGGAUGGCAGAUGGGGCCCCCCUUGCCCUGGGGAACUUCAUGUUUGUACUUUCUCAGGAAGCACACAUUUCCCCAGUUCAGCGGGAGAGAGAGUGGGGAGACUAGCAGGGAAAUUGCUUUCCAGCUUUGUGCUGGGUGGUUGGGGUGAGGGUGGCCACGGAAGGAGGUGAAAUCAGGCUGACCUCAAGAUAGACCCAAGAUGUCCCAGUUCUGGCCGCUCUAAGUCUCUAAAGCAGCAGCUGGUGGGAGGGGCAGUAUUGGGCAGUAUGUCAGGGAGGCCACCUGUCUGCUCACACAGUACAAUUGAUGUGCCCCCCCCCCCAGGCAUAUAUCCCUCUUCCUCCUUGCUGGGCCCCAUGGGUAGAUAAGGUGACUGGAGGGGUGCCAAGAAAAGGGCGGUGCCCCCACAGGCAUCUGAAAACAAAGCUGCUGCUCCAUUUGCCCAGUUUGAAGAUUAGAAUGGUUUUGUGAUUAGCCAGGAGGGGGUGGGGGUCAGAGUUCUGGACACCUCACUGGAGUUGGGGGUCAGCAUACCCUACCAAGGCUGACAUUCACUCCUAGGUAAUGGCCUGGGACCCUCAGGUGACUUGUCCACUCUCUGGCUAUGUAUUGUUGAAUGAAAAGGGGACAUGUAAAUCUCCUUUCAGCUGUUCUGAAAUAACCCUUGCCACAUGGGAACACAGUCUAUUCAACAUGAAGAAUUCAAACCUAACACAAGUGGGUGAGAAGCAGGAACCCACUGCUAGGCCCCACCGCGUUCCCUCAGAGGUGGUCUCAGUAGCUGGAACUUGGAGAAGUAGUUUUGGUGGGGUGUUGGGACAUGGGUGAAUCCAGGUCCUGGUUUGGAAUUGCUCUGGCGGGAACCGUCAGCUAACAUCAGUUGGAAGCUCUGUGUCCUCCCCCUCCUGAGUCCUGUUUUUCCUGGAGGACCUUGGCCCACCCCUGUGGAAUGUGGGGAUGUGGGGAAGAAAGCUGACUGCUUUUACUCCCACUCAGAAAAUUCGGUUGCGCUCUUCUUCAAGGGGGUGCUCCUCAGCCUGCACCCCAGUGAAGGGGCCUUUGAGGAACUCCCAGUGCCACUGGCAAACAGUCUGUAACCUUUGGGACCCAGCCACCUCCCAGCCCCUGUUCUCUUAAUUCCUGCCUUCUUGGGUUGGAGAGAGGAAUCUCCAUUUGUAAAAGCUGAGUUAGGGAACUAGAGGAUUCCUGAAGCUUUAAAGCGCCUCAAAGCCCUCACCCUGCACGUGACCUGUCACCUGGAGCCUGCCCCAGCCCCCACCCCUGCCUGUUCUUACAGGGGCUCCGGUGCCUCCAGGGUCACACAGCACCAUGUGGAAACUAUUCCUCAGGGCAGCUCUCCUUGGCCUUUUUAUCCCCUGAAUCAUGCAUUUUUCUGCCCUAAUUUGGUGUGGUUUGGUUACUGGGCAGCUGUCCAGGGUGAGUUUGCAGGAGGAAGCACAGCCAAGCAGCCUCGCUCUGCUUAUGGGACAGUCUUCCUCCCACCCUCCCUGAGAGUGAAAGGGCCCCACAGAGACCAUCAGGCAUGGAUGCUGAACUGCUGGGAAGGGAGCUCAGGCUUUUUCUUUUUAGUCCCCAAGAGAAGAAUUCUUUCUCAGAUGUUUUUGUGGUUGGAGAAUAUUUUUGCCAUUGCUUUGAGAAGACUUCCCCUCCUAACUCCCCCUCUUUCCUUGGAAUUUCCUUCCUUAAAUGGAAAGCCUUCAACAUUCACUCCAAGCUCGCCCUUUUGCUCCCCCCAGGAAAAAUAACAAGCAAACAGAGGUGCUUGCCCAGUGUCUCUGGAGGGGCUUCCCUUAGAGGUGGGCUGUGUGAUCCCCUGCCAGGAGGGGGCGAUGGGGGCCACUUGUUCAUUAACGAUGUUAGGCUCAAGGUAACUGAACUUUUUUUGCACAUGCCUCUCUGCAGAGAGUUGUGCAUAAACACACUGCUCGGCAGGACAGAGCAAGAUUGGGAACUGAGGGCAAAUCCCUUCCUCCGUGCGUCGAACUCUUGAUCCCAGGCCUUAAAAGUGGGAUCUCUGCACUCUGGGCUUUCUCCAGCUCCCCCAGGGAAGGGAGGCUCGGGGUGAGGUGGGCACGGGGCAUCUUUCCUGCCCAACUGUGAAGUCUCAAAAAGUUUCACAAAGUUUCUAUUGAAUGACAGCUUUCUUCUUCUCUUUCUCCAGGGUUGAGUUCCAGAAUAAAUUCUACAGCGGGACCGGUUUCAAGUUCUUACCCUUCUCCUUCGAGCAUAUUCGGGAAGGGAAGUUUGAAGAGUGAGUCCCUGUGAGGGCCGUGUGCCCCAUGCUACCCUCCCCGCCUCCCUCCACAGUGAUCAGCUGUGCCUCUCUGCCUGUUGGUUGUGAUCUUGGGCACCAGCUCAUUCGUGUCACCCUGUCUGUGAGUCAUUUAGAUAGAAUAGUCCUCCUUGGGUCUCCCACCACCCCUAGCUUUGUGUGUAGUGUAGUGAUUUUCUGGCUGUCACUCAAACUCACUGGGCACCAGCCUUGCCCUCUUAGCCUCCAUCCAUCCAGACAGCCCUUCCCACCUCCUGGUGGUGAGCCAGUCUGCAUUCCCACGCCAUCCCAAAGCCCUUUCAUCUUCCCUGUGCAUUGUAGAUGGAAGGAGCACCCAUGCCAUUCACAUCUAGACUUUGAGUUCCCUGCAUCUGCCACCGUAGUUUCUAGCAGGAGUAGUGGGGGGAGUAAUACGGAUUCUUCCCUAGAAGGGGACACUGGUAACAUGUCCCACUCUUGGAUUAGCAGGGGUGGGUCCAGGAAGAUGAUAUUUGCGUCUUUUGCCCACCCCCCUCUCGUGCUUGUUAAUCAGGCAUUCAGCUGGACCCAACUAGGCCAUCAUGAGUGGCUUCUCCCUGUCAUCCCCAGGGGUCAUAGGAUAUCUACACCUCCUUUCUGACCCCACCCUGCACUCCCAUCCUUUCCUCUCUCCCCGUUCAUGCCCUGUACUACAUAGCACAGCCGGGAUGCUUGGAACAGAGGCCUUGGCUGCUCCGCAGUGCACAGGGCUUCCCUCUCUCGGGGUUGGCUUCUUCCCAGGCCUUGCAUGGGCCCUGCCCACAAGCACACCCUCAGGCCGAGGGUGCAGACUGAUGCUCUUCCCUGGUGGAGACCCUGAGAUCUUCCCCACCCCCAAUCAUGAUGUCUUCAAUGUGGGACUGGGGUCCUCUUGGUUCUGCCUGCAGCCUGCCUGGCUCCGCCCCUAGUGCCCCCUCCUCACCACACUGGCCCCAGGUCUCAGGAGGGGUGUCCUGGGCAGGGAAGGUCAGUGUCACUGAUGGUUUGCUGUUUGGAAGCCAUUGGCAGGGCUGCCGUGCAUGUGGCUGUGAGGGCUGCACAGUCCUGCCAAGGGGCUUCCUCCUUGUCACCCCGAACCUUGUAAUCGUGUGCUGGCGUGGCAGCCCUGGCUAAGUUAAUCCCCACCGCUUUCAGUGGUAGAAAGAAUUCCCUGAGUGGGCCAGGCUGGUGCCCUCCUCCUACCCUGGCUUUUCUGAGUGAGCUGCCUGGAGCCCUCAUCCCCUCUCCCAGGCUGGGCUGGCCCUGGGCGGGGCCACUGUGUGCUGGCCCACUGUGACCUGACCCGACCUUGUGCAGCCCCCCUGCCCUGGUGUCCUGGGUUUUCGUGAUGAUCUUUGCUCUGUUUCCAGUGGGGUUUGAAGCAGAGUUCAGGGAACCCUGCCCAAGGUCCUCCUGUUCAGACAUUCCUAUGUUGAAUAAAGUAUGUUUGACUCCCCCAG